This 240-nucleotide ribosomal RNA is filed under the name uncultured bacterium. RNAcentral describes it as "partial 16S ribosomal RNA". It matches the Rfam family "Bacterial small subunit ribosomal RNA", at positions 524 to 765 of the family's 1533-position model. The record is from RNAcentral.
UACGUAGGGUGCGAGCGUUAAUCGGAAUACUGGGCGUAAAGCGUGCGCAGGCGGUGAUGUAAGACAGUUGUGAAAUCCCCGGGCUCAACCUGGGAACUGCAUUUGUGACUGCAUCGCUGGAGUGCGGCAGAGGGGAUGGAAUUCCGCGUGUAGCAGUGAAAUGCGUAGAUAUCGAGGAGGAAUACCGAUGGCGAAGGCAGGUCUCUGGGCUGACACUGACGCUCAUGCACGAAGCGUGGG